RNAcentral lists this non-coding RNA (295 nucleotides) under Clostridiales bacterium CHKCI006. RNAcentral's name for it is "Bacterial large subunit ribosomal RNA". It matches the Rfam family "Bacterial large subunit ribosomal RNA", at positions 1 to 308 of the family's 2925-position model. Lineage: Bacteria; Bacillati; Bacillota; Clostridia; Eubacteriales. The record is from Rfam by way of RNAcentral.
GGUUAAGGAAGCAAGAGCAUCUGGAGGAUGCCUGGGCACAUCAAGGCGAAGAAGGACGCAGCAAACGGCGAAACGCGUCGGGGAGUCGUAAGCAGACAGAGAACCGGCGAUGUCCGAAUGGGGGAACCCAUACACCAGGAAGGGUGUAUAUCCACUGCGAGCGCAGAUGGAGGGAAAACUCAGGGAACUGAAACAUCUAAGUACCUGAAGGAAAAGAAAGUAAGAACGAUUUUCUGAGUAGUGGCGAGCGAAAGGGAAGGAGCCCAAACCGACGAUAGUCGGGGUAAUAGGGCCG